GGGAGUCGGAUAUUGGGCGUAAGCGCGCGCAGGCGGUCUCUUAAGUCUGAUGUGAAAGCCCACGGCUCAACCGUGGAGGGUCAUUGGAAACUGGGGGACUUGAGUGUAGGAGAGGAAAGUGGAAUUCCACGUGUAGCGGUGAAAUGCGUAGAUAUGUGGAGGAACACCAGUGGCGAAGGCGACUUUCUGGCCUACAACUGACGCUGAGGCGCGAAAGCGUGGGGAGCAAACAGGAUUAGAUACCCUGGUAGUCCACGCCGUAAACGUUGAGUGCUAGGUGUUAGGGGUUUCGAUGCCCUUAGUGCCGAAGUUAACACAUUAAGCACUCCGCCUGGGGAGUACGGCCGCAAGGCUGAAACUCAAAGGAAUUGACGGGGGCCCGCACAAGCAGUGGAGCAUGUGGUUUAAUUCGAAGCAACGCGAAGAACCUUACCAGGUCUUGACAUCCUCUGACCACCCUGGAGACAGGGCUUUCCCCUUCGGGGGACAGAGUGACAGGUGGUGCAUGGUUGUCGUCAGCUCGUGUCGUGAGAUGUUGGGUUAAGUCCCGCAACGAGCGCAACCCUUAAUCUUAGUUGCCAGCAUUCAGUUGGGCACUCUAAGGUGACUGCCGGUGACAAACCGGAGGAAGGUGGGGACGACGUCAAAUCAUCAUGCCCCUUAUGACCUGGGCUACACACGUGCUACAAUGGAUGGUACAAAGGGCAGCGAGACCGCGAGGUUAAGCGAAUCCCAUAAAGCCAUUCUCAGUUCGGAUUGCAGCUGCAACUCGCCUGCAUGAAGCCCGGAAUUGCUAGUAAUCGCGGAUCAGCAUGCCGCGGUGAAUACGUCCCAGCUGAUCCCCCCCCCCCGCCGUACAAUAUUGGGAGGGGCGGCUUUCAGGGGUAGAACACUAAGAGA
Molecule: ribosomal RNA, 900 nt
Filed under: Salipaludibacillus agaradhaerens
Lineage: Bacteria; Bacillati; Bacillota; Bacilli; Caryophanales; Bacillaceae
Description: bacterial SSU rRNA
Rfam family: Bacterial small subunit ribosomal RNA
Source: RNAcentral